Molecule: long non-coding RNA, 203 nt
Organism: Carassius carassius (crucian carp)
Lineage: Eukaryota; Metazoa; Chordata; Actinopteri; Cypriniformes; Cyprinidae
Exons: 2
Source: RefSeq, a predicted model, not a curated record
GUGAAACGAAUAUCUCUGUGUAGGUCUAUGCAGUGUUGAAUAUGUUUUUCAUUUCUUUCAGCCUGUAUGUUGUUCGACAUUGCAGCAUGCUGAUGAGUUAAUAAAGAGGCAACAAAAACCUGGGAUCUGCAUUGGCCCUGUCAAGUCUGGAGAGUGUUUUUACCGUUUAAUGAAUUAAAUUGUAAUAAAAGUUUUUAAAUGGA